AUGCUAAUGAGCGCUGAUCCCUUGAGUCAAAAUUGCUCACACUGUGAUUCACUUGUACAUAAAGAUAAGAGAUUUGCUGAAAAUUCUAAAUUCGGCGUGACAUGUACUAUUUAUGUAGAGCUACAGAACCUCUGCCGAUUUACAGACAUGCAGAGUGUCAUGUUGCCCACUCUUUCAUCAGUUUGUUGCUUGCUGGAGAUACACUGCACCUGCUAG
Molecule: ribosomal RNA, 216 nt
Filed under: Triticum aestivum (bread wheat)
Lineage: Eukaryota; Viridiplantae; Streptophyta; Magnoliopsida; Poales; Poaceae
Description: partial small subunit ribosomal RNA
Source: RNAcentral